RNAcentral lists this long non-coding RNA (707 nucleotides) under Bemisia tabaci. Its description in RNAcentral is "lncRNA ENSSSA1NGG001103". Lineage: Eukaryota; Metazoa; Arthropoda; Insecta; Hemiptera; Aleyrodidae. The record is from RNAcentral.
AUGGGAUUGCAUAUUCAAACAUUGUUCAUAUUUGGUUCAACUUUUCGUCUCCUAAAUCCUAACGACUGAUUUAUUCUGUGUUUCAGGUAUGCACUCUCUUUACAACACUCCUUAAGAGAAACUUAUCCUUCAUCCUUGCGAUGAUCAGGAAAAACAUUCAGUGAUAAAAGGUUCAUUUACCUUGAAAGCAAAAGAUCAGCGAAUCCGAGUCUAGGGUAUGCAUUCAGAUUCAGAUAGUCGACACUAACAUUCCUCGAACAUUCAAAAAUAAAACAGAAAACGGUGAAAACCCCUUGGUUUGUUACCGUUCCACAAUCACAACUAAAGGAUACUCUUUGACGCUAUGAUCCAGACAGUCAAAUAAUAAUGGAGUGUAUAUACCUGCUACUUCUCUUGUUGGUUGGGUCUGGUCUCUGCCGACCGGAGAGCCGAGAAUUGGAAGAGGAGCAGAAUGAUGAGGAAGGAGAAGGUGGCGAAGGUGGGGAAGAGCCGAACGACCAGGGAGCGCCCGAUUCCAGGCGGCCGCCGAUCCUCAAACCCAGCCUACGACCAUAACCGUGGAAAAGGGCCAGACGGCAAUUUUACCAUGUGAAUUUCAAGAUUUGGGAAAUUCCCAGACCAUGUGGCUUAUGAAUAGUCAGCAAUUAUUCAUCGGAUCUUACAAAUUGGAUGAGAGGAACACUAGGUUCAAUUUAACCAGUAAACUG